This 233-nucleotide ribosomal RNA is filed under the name uncultured bacterium. RNAcentral's name for it is "partial 16S ribosomal RNA". It matches the Rfam family "Bacterial small subunit ribosomal RNA", at positions 118 to 351 of the family's 1533-position model. The record is from RNAcentral.
UGAGCAAUCUGCCCUUCUCUUCGGAAUAAGCGUGGGAAACCGCGUCUAAUGCCGAAUACGACCUCCUUUCGCAUGAUCGGAGGUGGAAAGCUCCGGCGGAGAAGGAUGAGCUCGCGGCCUAUCAGCUAGUUGGUGUGGGUAAUAGCCCACCAAGGCGACGACGGGUAGCCGGCCUGAGAGGGUGACCGGCCACACUGGGACUGAGACACGGCCCAGACUCCUACGGGAGGNAG